Non-coding RNA from Paramuricea clavata, 324 nucleotides. The record is from the annotation of a GenBank genome assembly. NCBI's taxonomy places the organism in Eukaryota, Metazoa, Cnidaria, Anthozoa, Malacalcyonacea, Plexauridae.
AUUUAUUUCGCUAGAAACUCGUAUAAUACGGUAUUUUAUCGCCUCGGGAGACACUUAUUGGUCAUCGGUUGGAUAUUGAACUGACACAUGGGUAAGGUUCACAUUUCAGCUGAUCAUCAGUUUAUUCCAGUGGAGGCUUGUAUAGUAAACUAGGUAAUUGAUAGCACUGUUAUUAUCUAGACCAGUGUAAGUUCAUUGCUUUUGACUGACAAUAGCAUAUGCAGUCAAACUGACAUAGAUUGAGGUUUUCGUAACAUGUGGUAUCAGUAUAUACGUAGAUAUUUUUCAUGAUCAUCUGCAAACGGUUUGCCAGGUUGGGGUGGG